RNAcentral lists this ribosomal RNA (429 nucleotides) under Bacteroidota bacterium. Its description in RNAcentral is "Bacteroidetes bacterium partial 16S ribosomal RNA". It matches the Rfam family "Bacterial small subunit ribosomal RNA", at positions 355 to 776 of the family's 1533-position model. Lineage: Bacteria; Pseudomonadati; Bacteroidota. The record is from RNAcentral.
UAGGGAAUCUUCCGCAAUGGACGCAAGUCUGACGGAGCAACGCCGCGUGAGUGAAGAAGGAUUUCGGUUCGUAAAACUCUGUUGUUAGAGAAGAACAGCGCAUAGAGUAACUGUUAUGCGUGUGACGGUAUCUAACCAGAAAGCCACGGCUAACUACGUGCCAGCAGCCGCGGUAAUACGUAGGUGGCAAGCGUUGUCCGGAUUUAUUGGGCGUAAAGCGAGCGCAGGCGGUCAAUUAAGUCUGAUGUGAAAGCCCCCGGCGCAACCGGGGAGGGUCAUUGGAAACUGGUUGACUUGAGUGCAGAAGAGGAGAGGGGAAGUCCAUGUGUAGCGGUGAAAUGCGUAGAUAUAUGGAGGAACACCAGUGGCGAAGGGGACUCUCUGGUCUGUAACUGACGCUGAGGCUCGAAAGCGUGGGGAGCGAACAGG